Molecule: transfer RNA, 74 nt
Filed under: Pteropus alecto (black flying fox)
Lineage: Eukaryota; Metazoa; Chordata; Mammalia; Chiroptera; Pteropodidae
Rfam family: tRNA
About the family: Transfer RNA (tRNA) molecules are approximately 80 nucleotides in length.
Source: Rfam by way of RNAcentral
GGCUCCAUAGUAUAAUGGUUAGCAUGUCUGCUUUACAUGUAGAAGGUCUUGGAUUUGUGCCCCACGUGGAACCA